This 122-nucleotide ribosomal RNA is filed under the name Listeria monocytogenes. RNAcentral's name for it is "partial 23S ribosomal RNA". It matches the Rfam family "Bacterial large subunit ribosomal RNA", at positions 2806 to 2925 of the family's 2925-position model. The record is from RNAcentral. Lineage: Bacteria; Bacillati; Bacillota; Bacilli; Caryophanales; Listeriaceae.
GAGAUUUCCCAUUUCUUCGGAAAGUAAGAUCCCUGAAAGAUGAUCAGGUAGAUAGGUUUGGAGUGGAAGUGUAGCGAUACAUGGAGCGGACAAAUACUAAUCGAUCGAGGACUUAACCAAAA